This 440-nucleotide ribosomal RNA is filed under the name uncultured bacterium. RNAcentral describes it as "partial 16S ribosomal RNA". It matches the Rfam family "Bacterial small subunit ribosomal RNA", at positions 338 to 795 of the family's 1533-position model. The record is from RNAcentral.
CCUACGGGGGACAGCAGUAGGGAAUAUUGCUCAAUGGGGGAAACCCUGAAGCAGCAACGCCGCGUGGAGGAUGAAGGUUUUCGGAUUGUAAACUCCUUUUGUUAGAGAAGAUAAUGACGGUAUCUAACGAAUAAGCACCGGCUAACUCCGUGCCAGCAGCCGCGGUAAUACGGAGGGUGCAAGCGUAACCCGGAAUAACUGGGCGUAAGGAGCGCGUAGGCGGGAUAGAAAGUCAGAUGUGAAAUCCUAUGGCUUAACCAUAGAACUGCAUUUGAAACUGUUAUUCUAGAGUAUGGGAGAGGUAGGUGGAAUGCUUGGUGUAGGGGUAAAAUCCGUAGAGAUCAAGAGGAAUACUCAGUGCGAAGGCAACCUGCUAGAACGUAACUGACGCUGAUGCGCGAAAGCGUGGGGAGCAAACAGGAUUAGAUACCCGAGUAGUC